This 37-nucleotide ribosomal RNA is filed under the name Alaria marginata. RNAcentral's name for it is "partial 26S ribosomal RNA". Lineage: Eukaryota; Phaeophyceae; Laminariales; Alariaceae. The record is from RNAcentral.
GACCUCCGAUCAAGCAAGAGGACCCGUUGAAUUUAAC